GUCCUGCACACCCCCACAACGAUCAUGUACUCCCGUCAUGCCCCUGGAAGUCGAUUGCUCCACAGAUCUAGAGGAUGGUGAAUUGAGCUACCAGCAAAAGAAUGUCCAAUCUGCAAAUUUUGCAUUCCUAGACUCAACCGUCAACCAUCAACCAUCAACCUCUGGAGCAAGCUACCACCAACAGACCGUCCAAUCUACGAAUUUGGCUUCAAAAGACUCAACCGUCAACCAUAAAC
This is a long non-coding RNA of Lytechinus variegatus (green sea urchin), 236 nucleotides long. RefSeq lists it as uncharacterized. The record is from RefSeq and is a predicted model, not a curated record. Lineage: Eukaryota; Metazoa; Echinodermata; Echinoidea; Temnopleuroida; Toxopneustidae. The transcript is spliced from 3 exons.